RNAcentral lists this unclassified non-coding RNA (387 nucleotides) under uncultured bacterium. Its description in RNAcentral is "contains 16S-23S intergenic spacer region". The record is from RNAcentral.
UCCUCGUUUAAGCGAGGCAGUCUGUCCAGAGUGCUCCCCUCUCUCGAGGGGGUGGCAACAGGACACAAGGGUUGCGCUCGUUGCGGGACUUAACCCAACAUCUCACGACACGAGCUGACGACGGCCAUGCAGCACCUGUGUCCUGGCUCUCUUUCGAGCACUCCCACAUUUCUGCAGAGUUCCUGACAUGUCAAGGGUAGGUAAGGUUUUUCGCGUUGCAUCGAAUUAAACCACAUCAUCCACCGCUUGUGCGGGCCCCCGUCAAUUCCUUUGAGUUUUAAUCUUGCGGCCGUACUCCCCAGGCGGGGUGCUUAAUGCGUUAGCUUCGGCACGGACGGGGUUGAUAUCCGCCCACACCUAGCACCCAACGUUUACGGCUAGGACUAC